This 55-nucleotide non-coding RNA is filed under the name Acidovorax sp. MR-S7. RNAcentral describes it as "nhaA-I RNA". It matches the Rfam family "nhaA-I RNA". Rfam says of the family: Acidobacteria, Alphaproteobacteria, Betaproteobacteria and Gammaproteobacteria, Verrucomicrobia, cand. division NC10. Downstream gene RNAcentral also lists the same sequence under 1 other name. Lineage: Bacteria; Pseudomonadati; Pseudomonadota; Betaproteobacteria; Burkholderiales; Comamonadaceae. The record is from Rfam by way of RNAcentral.
GGGUGUUGGCUGCAUGGAGCAGCGAACAGGUUCAUGCGCAGGUCGGGCCGCCGCG